ACGCACGCUGGCGGCGUGCUUAACACAUGCCAGUCGAACGGUAAGGCCCCUUCGGGGGUACACGAGUGGCGAACGGGUGAGUAACACGUGGGUGAUCUGCCCUGCACUUCGGGAUAAGCCUGGGAAACUGGGUCUAAUACCGGAUAGGACCACGCUCUGCAUGGAGUGUGGUGGAAAGCUUUUGCGGUGUGGGAUGGGCCCGCGGCCUAUCAGCUUGUUGGUGGGGUGAUGGCCUACCAAGGCGACGACGGGUAGCCGGCCUGAGAGGGUGUCCGGCCACACUGGGACUGAGAUACGGCCCAGACUCCUACGGGAGGCAGCAGUGGGGAAUAUUGCACAAUGGGCGCAAGCCUGAUGCAGCGACGCCGCGUGGGGGAUGACGGCCUUCGGGUUGUAAACCUCUUUCAGUACCGACGAAGCGCAAGUGACGGUAGGUACAGAAGAAGCACCGGCCAACUACGUG
RNAcentral lists this ribosomal RNA (463 nucleotides) under uncultured bacterium. RNAcentral describes it as "partial 16S ribosomal RNA". It matches the Rfam family "Bacterial small subunit ribosomal RNA", at positions 29 to 507 of the family's 1533-position model. The record is from RNAcentral.